AAUGGAUUUGGCGGCCAGGCGUCCCAUUUAGAGGAACCUGCCCUAUAAACGACAGUCCACGAGAUAUCUUACUUUUUUAGUAGGCAAUUUGUAUACCGUUGUUGUCAGUUAGUUUUAAUAAAAAGCUUUCUAAAAUGAUUAUUCAUUGAUUUCAAAUAAAGGUGCAGUUAAUAAAAAAGGUUGAGGUGGGUUACAUUUAUUUGAUUAAUACGGAAAAAUGGCUGUAAUGGUGUUUUAAAGGAGGAUUUAAAGGUAAAAAAUUAUUAUUUUGAUAAGAGUAUCGUCUUGUGUACAUACCGCCCGUC
RNAcentral lists this ribosomal RNA (305 nucleotides) under Annandaleum sp. 1 SML-2013. RNAcentral's name for it is "partial 12S ribosomal RNA". The record is from RNAcentral. Lineage: Eukaryota; Metazoa; Arthropoda; Thecostraca; Scalpellidae.